Molecule: ribosomal RNA, 398 nt
Filed under: uncultured bacterium
Lineage: Bacteria
Description: bacterial SSU rRNA
Rfam family: Bacterial small subunit ribosomal RNA
Source: RNAcentral
AGAAUCUUGCACAAUGGGCGAAAGCCUGAUGCAGCGAUGCCGCGUGGGUGAAGAAGGCCUUCGGGUCGUAAAGCCCUGUCAGAGGGAAAGAUAAUGACGGUACCCUCCAAGGAAGCCACGGCUAAUUACGUGCCAGCAGCCGCGGUAAUACGUAAGUGGCGAGCGUUAUCCGGAAUUACUGGGCGUAAAGCGUGCGUAGGCGGUGUGGUGUGUUGGAAUUGAAAGCCCUGGGCUCAACUCAGGACCCGGUUCCAAAACUGCCAGACUGGAGCGUAUCAGAGGACAGCGGAAUUCCCGGUGUAGCGGUAAUAUGCGUAGAUAUCGGGAGGAACACCAGUGGCGAAGGCGGCUGUCUGGGGUAUUGCUGACGCUGAGGCACGAAAGCCAGGGGAGCGAAC